RNAcentral lists this long non-coding RNA (965 nucleotides) under Junco hyemalis (dark-eyed junco). RNAcentral's name for it is "lncRNA (ENSJHYG00000016339.1)". The record is from RNAcentral. Lineage: Eukaryota; Metazoa; Chordata; Aves; Passeriformes; Passerellidae.
CUUAUUUCAUGAACCUGAAUAGGCUGGAAGACAAGAAUAAAAAUGUGGAUUUAACUGGUGAUUUCUCUGACAUGAUAGAAGAUAAAUCAAGCCACUGAUGACAGCAGAAAGUUGAAUUCUCAACUGGUUUUGCCAUUAGCAAGUAAUUUUUUGUGCUGUUGACAUGAUAAGAAUAGAAAACAGACAAUGAAGCAGAAUUAUUAAACACCUAUGGGUGAUACACCAGAUUUCAUCUCUCGUUUUGGGACAUAGUUGAAUUCCACUUGGAAUAAAGAAUUCUCAGGAGUAACAUCAUGGAGCCUUGUAAAUCCACUAAAAUAUCAACCAUGGUACAGGUUAAAAUGGAUUUUUUCUAAUUUAUGGCACAUAUUAACAUCUUUUUAAAGGUUCACUUUGCCCUGUUAAGAGUUACAAUGGAAGAUAAAAGAAUUACUUAUUUAAUCUGAAUCCACUCUUGGCAUUGUAGCUGCUUUUUCUGUCUGUCAGAACAUGACAGAAGGAAUCAACUUGUGCCUGUUGACUGGGAAAAUGAGAUCAGUGCACUUCUAGGGGUUCUAAGUUGUCAGCUUUGGUGGAAGAUGGGAUGCUCCCAGUCCAGAAAGGUGACAAGACCAGUGUUACAACCCUCAAUCCAUCCCCCGAGUGUCUGUGGUGAGCUCAGAGUGGCUGCAGACCCUGGAAUGCAAUGCAGGUAUACAAGAUGGUGCACAAGAAAUUGAAACUAUUCUCUGCUGGAUGGGCCUUGCUGCUGUAUGAAGGAAUGCAAAACAGCCAUGCCUCAAGCAGUAUCAAUGCCAUCUGGGACACCUGCUCACAUCCAUGCUUGCUUCAAGGCCUUCCAGUGAGCCCCUGAGCUGGACCAACCUCAUCUGGACUGGUCUGUUCAUCCUGGUUGAAGAAACCUGGCAAGGAUAUCACUUUACUUCUUCAGCUUGGUAAGAAUUUUAUAUACUUCCCAAUUUUCA